RNAcentral lists this ribosomal RNA (84 nucleotides) under Zobellella endophytica. RNAcentral describes it as "partial 16S ribosomal RNA". It matches the Rfam family "Bacterial small subunit ribosomal RNA", at positions 1457 to 1533 of the family's 1533-position model. The record is from RNAcentral. Lineage: Bacteria; Pseudomonadati; Pseudomonadota; Gammaproteobacteria; Aeromonadales; Aeromonadaceae.
CCACGGAGUGAUUCAUGACUGGGGUGAAGUCGUAACAAGGUAACCGUAGGGGAACCUGCGGUUGGAUCACCUCCUUACCUUAAA